GAAAAUUAAAUAGCCGCAGUUUUGUGCUAAGGUAGCAUAAUCAUUUGCCUAAUAAUUAUAGGAUAGAAUGAAAGGUGACACAUGUUAUCUUCUUUAUUAAAAAGGGUAUUUUAAAUUAACUUUUAAGUAAAAACACUUAAAUAAUUAGAGGGACGACAAGACCCUGACGAACUUCACACUAUUGUUUAGCUGGGGCGGCAGACAAAUUAAAUCUUUUCUUCCCUUUUCCCAACAGAUCCUUAAACCUGAUAAUCAAGUUACCGCAGGGAUAACAGCAUAAUCCUUUCCUGAAGACCGUAUAUAAGAAAGUAUUUGUGACCUCGAUGUUGAAUUAAAAAUCUAUUAGAGGCAGCACUCUAACUAGAGAGUCUGUUCGACUCUUAAAUAUUU
This 390-nucleotide ribosomal RNA is filed under the name Aname sp. QMB S111405. Its description in RNAcentral is "partial 16S ribosomal RNA". It matches the Rfam family "Archaeal large subunit ribosomal RNA", at positions 1995 to 2666 of the family's 2987-position model. The record is from RNAcentral. Lineage: Eukaryota; Metazoa; Arthropoda; Arachnida; Araneae; Anamidae.